Molecule: ribosomal RNA, 492 nt
Filed under: uncultured bacterium
Lineage: Bacteria
Description: partial 16S ribosomal RNA
Rfam family: Bacterial small subunit ribosomal RNA
Source: RNAcentral
AGUGAACGCUGGCGGUAGGCCUAACACAUGCAAGUCGAACGGAAGCACAGUAAGAGUUUGCUCUUACGGGUGGCGAGUGGCGGACGGGUGAGGAAUACAUCGGAAUCUACUUUUUCGUGGGGGAUAACGUAGGGAAACUUACGCUAAUACCGCAUAUGAUCUACGGGUGAAAGCAGUGGAUCUUCGCACCUUGCGCGAUUGAAUGAGCCGAUGUCGGAUUAGCUAGUUGGCGGGGUAAAGGCCCACCAAGGCGACGAUCCGUAGCUGGUCUGAGAGGAUGAUCAGCCACACUGGAACUGAGACACGGUCCAGACUCCUACGGGAGGCAGCAGUGGGGAAUAGUGGACAAUGGGCGCAAGCCUGAUCCAGCCAUACCGCGUGGGUGAAGAAGGCCUUCGGGUUGUAAAGCCCUUUUGUUGGGAAAGAAAGGCAGCAGGUUAAUACCCCGCUGUUCUGACGGUACCCAAAGAAUAAGCACCGGCUAACUUCGUG